Molecule: non-coding RNA, 1143 nt
Organism: Microcebus murinus (gray mouse lemur)
Lineage: Eukaryota; Metazoa; Chordata; Mammalia; Primates; Cheirogaleidae
Source: RefSeq, a predicted model, not a curated record
GUCUCAGUCUAUUAGUAAGUCGUGAAAAUAAAUUCAGUUGACUGUGGCCAGCAUGCAUGAAAGGAGCAGGGAUGGUAGAGAAGGGGAGAUAGGUUGGGAGGAGGAGAUAGGUUUCAAUGAGAAAGGAGAUCUUCAAGUAAUCGCCAGAACAGUGACCAGAGAGGGAAGAAGAGAGACUCUGUAUGGUCCCCUAGGCCUUUUGGAAAACACGGAGCUGCUCCUUUGACUGCAUGCAUGGGACCCUACCAGGAAGCUGAGAUGGUAGACAUCAGAGGAACAAAUGCUAUUCCAACAGGAAGAUCUCACAAACAUUACCAUGGCAAGAUUGGAAAGAAUCUAGAAUGUCAAACCACCAUGCUGCUGCUGAAAUUGUUGGACCGAAGAAGAUAUUUUCCAAGAGAAUUAAUAUGCAAUUUGAGUAUAUUAAGCUCUGGAAUGAACUGAGAUAACUUCCUGAAACUUUAAGAAAAAUGACCAGAAAACAAAAGAAGUCAAAAGAGAGAAACGCCAGGGCUCAGCUGAAACACCGGUCUGCUGCACCUCGAGAAAAUCCCUCAAUGAAGCCUUCAGGUGGAAGGCUGCUCUUUGGAUACUUAGAUUCUGAGCCCUAAACUUUCUCUAAGAAAAGGAAAUAAUUGGGAAAGUAUUUGAGGAGCUAUAUCAUUACUGAAGCGAGGAAGCAGUUACUUUAUUUAUGGAGAAUUACGUAAAAUGAAAGGAAGACACUGAUGGGAGAGAGGGGAAGGGGCAAGGAUCUGGAGUCAGACAUCGCUGUGCACUCCCAGCUCUCCUUCCCACUAGCGGUGUGAGCUUGAACAGAGACGGCAGUCGUUCCCUCCUAGGCGCUUGUGAAGUUCAGGUGCAUGGAGGUGUGAACUGCCUGGCACUCAGUGGACCCUCUGCAAAGGCGAGUUUGCUUCCGUUCUGCUGCCCAUUUCUACCAGGUCUGCUGGCUUUAUGCUCGUAUGCCAUGGAGUGGGGGUUAAAGGAGGGGCGUGUACCCCCAACAUGUUCAAAUCACAAAACUAUCAUGAAGCUUCGCUCCCAACAUGCUCUCUCACUGACAGUCUAAGCCAGGGGUCCUCAAACUUUUUAACCAGGGGGUCAGGUCACUGUCCCUCAGACUGUUGGAGGGCCGUUGGA